AUUGAACGCUGGCGGCAGGCCUAACACAUGCAAGUCGAACGGUAACAGGAAGAAGCUUGCUUCUUUGCUGACGAGUGGCGGACGGGUGAGUAAUGUCUGGGAAACUGCCUGAUGGAGGGGGAUAACUACUGGAAACGGUAGCUAAUACCGCAUAACGUCGCAAAACCAAAGAGGGGGACCUUCGGGCCUCUUGCCAUCGGAUGUGCCCAGAUGGUAUUAGCUAGUAGGUGGGGUAACGGCUCACCUAGUCGACGAUCCCUAGCUGGUCUGAGAGGAUGACCAGCCACACUGGAACUGAGACACGGUCCAGACUCCUACGGGAGGCAGCAGUGGGGAAUAUUGCACAAAGGGCGCAAGCCUGAUGCAGCCAUGCCGCGUGUAUGAAGAAGGCCUUCGGGUUGUAAAGUACUUUCAGCGGGGAGGAAGGGAGUAAAGUUAAUACCUUUGCUCAUUGACGUUACCCGCAGAAGAAGCACCGGCUAACUCCGUG
RNAcentral lists this ribosomal RNA (490 nucleotides) under uncultured bacterium. RNAcentral's name for it is "partial 16S ribosomal RNA". It matches the Rfam family "Bacterial small subunit ribosomal RNA", at positions 30 to 507 of the family's 1533-position model. The record is from RNAcentral.